CCUACGGGAGGCAGCAGUGGGGAAUAUUGCACAAUGGGGGAAACCCUGAUGCAGCGACGCCGCGUGAAGGAAGAAGUAUUUCGGUAGGUAAACUUCUAUCAGCAGGGCGGAAAAUGACGGUACCUGACUAAGAAGCACCGGCAAACUACGUGCCAGCAGCCGCGGUAAUACGUAGGGGGCAAGCGUUAUCCGGAUUUACUGGGUGUAAAGGGAGCGUAGGCGGUUUAGCAAGUCAGAAGUGAAAGCCCGGGGCUGAACUCCGGGACUGCUUUUGAAACUGUUGAACGAGAGUGCAGGAGAGGUAAGUGGAAUUCCUAGUGUAGCGGUGAAAUGCGUAGAUAUUAGGAGGAACACCAGUGGCGAAGGCGGCUUACUGGACUGUAAAUGACGCUGAGGCUCGAAAGCGUGGGGAGCAAACAGGAUUAGAUACCCGAGUAGUC
This 440-nucleotide ribosomal RNA is filed under the name uncultured bacterium. RNAcentral describes it as "partial 16S ribosomal RNA". It matches the Rfam family "Bacterial small subunit ribosomal RNA", at positions 338 to 795 of the family's 1533-position model. The record is from RNAcentral.